ACUCCACUUUCCUCUUUGUUUUGGUCUCGAUCCUCUCCUUCACCUCCCAUGGAUCCGCGGGCCCAGUCACCGUCACCCUGUUGCUCCCCGCGUCCGCGGAUACCGUCACUCUGCAAGUGGCCAAUUAUUGUCAGAAACUCUGCAACGGAUGGGAGAGGAAACGGUUCAAAACCCAAUUAUUGCCAUAUGGAAAAAAAACGGUUCAUGUGAAAAAAAAAGGUUCGGUUUAAAAGAGGACCAAAGUGAGGGUGAAGAAAUUUUUGCCACGUGGCAAAAUUAUUGGGGAUUUAUAUUAGUUUAUAGAUUAUAGAUUAUAGAUAAAAUAGGCUCCACAUUCCUUUAUUGAGUCAUGUUUCUUAAGAUGGGAAUUAAAAUAC
This 377-nucleotide long non-coding RNA is filed under the name Ananas comosus (pineapple). RNAcentral's name for it is "long non-coding RNA (ACOM_LNC044818)". Lineage: Eukaryota; Viridiplantae; Streptophyta; Magnoliopsida; Poales; Bromeliaceae. The record is from RNAcentral.